This 454-nucleotide unclassified non-coding RNA is filed under the name Hevea brasiliensis (rubber tree). Lineage: Eukaryota; Viridiplantae; Streptophyta; Magnoliopsida; Malpighiales; Euphorbiaceae. The record is from RNAcentral.
CAAGAACCUCCAAGAGGAGAAAUUUUUAAUGAAAAGAUGUUUGCAAAACAUAUAUGGGAAAGCCAUACUAAAUAACUGACACAUUGAACUUAUAAAUAGCCUUACAAAUGAGAGUUUUCAUCAGGAUCAUGGUACCCAAAACAUACAUCAAGAAAUUUCAAUGCAGGGCUCUUGUUCAUCUAGAUGCAUACAUCUAAGAAGCACAUGAUUGUCAUUUCUACAAGCAAUUUAGGAACAAGGAUCAUUUGGCAUGUGUUUCAAGAAUAUCAAUACAGCAACAGAUUGCAGUUGCUCAUCUUCCAAGUCCCUGUAGCAUUCGUUCACCAAGAAAUACAGCAAAGGUUUUUUGCUCAAAAUUGACGUCUUGGCCUAGCUUCUGCAACAGAGACCCGAAUUGCUCUGCCAUCCAAUUCAACGCCAUUCAAGGACUCAAUGGCAUUUUCAACCUCUUCAG